AGGGCGGUGGCUCAAUUGGUAGAGCAGCGGUCUCCAAAACCGCAGGUUGCAGGUUCGUGUCCUGUCCGCCCUG
This 73-nucleotide transfer RNA is filed under the name Rhodoglobus sp. Its description in RNAcentral is "tRNA-Trp". It matches the Rfam family "tRNA". From Rfam's summary of the family: Transfer RNA (tRNA) molecules are approximately 80 nucleotides in length. Their secondary structure includes four short double-helical elements and three loops (D, anti-codon, and T loops). The record is from RNAcentral. Lineage: Bacteria; Bacillati; Actinomycetota; Actinomycetes; Micrococcales; Microbacteriaceae.